GACGAACGCUGGCGGCGUGCUUAACACAUGCAAGUCGAACGGAAAGGCCCUGCUUUUGUGGGGUGCUCGAGUGGCGAACGGGUGAGUAACACGUGAGUAACCUGCCCUUGACUUUGGGAUAACUUCAGGAAACUGGGGCUAAUACCGGAUAGGAGCUCCUGCUGCAUGGUGGGGGUUGGAAAGUUUCGGCGGUUGGGAAUGGACUCGCGGCUUAUCAGCUUGUUGGUGGGGUAGUGGCUUACCAAGGCUUUGACGGGUAGCCGGCCUGAGAGGGUGACCGGCCCCAUUGGGAAGGGGAAACGGCCCCAGCUCCUUAGGGGGGGAGGAGUGGGGAAUAGUUCACAAGGGGCGGGAGGCCUAGUCAGCCACCCCGCGUGGGGGAUGACGGCCUUUGGGGUGGAAAACCCUUUUCGCUUGGGACAAGCGGGAGGGGCGGGAAAGGGGAAAAAAACACCGGCUAAACAAGGG
RNAcentral lists this ribosomal RNA (468 nucleotides) under uncultured bacterium. Its description in RNAcentral is "partial 16S ribosomal RNA". It matches the Rfam family "Bacterial small subunit ribosomal RNA", at positions 28 to 507 of the family's 1533-position model. The record is from RNAcentral.